AUGUCGACCGACGCCGACCGUGCCGCCGCUAAGAAGGCCGAGGCCGACAAGAAGGCCGCCGAGGAUGCCGCAGCCACCGCCGCAUGGCCGAUUGGAGGGAGUUUUUCGAAUUCUGGUUUUGCUGCUGCACUGAAACCGUCGCCAUUUACGGGGACGUACUUUAAGCGUUGGCAGACUAAAACCACCUUAUGGCUCACUGCCAUGAACGUGUUCUGGGUCGCCGGUGUGACUCCCACAGGAACGAUCGCUCCUGAUCAGGAGAAGGCGUUCAAGGAGGCCACUGUCGUGUUCCUCGGGGCAGUUCUGAGCGUGAUUGGAGAUAAGCUGGUUGACGCAUAUUUGCAUGUGCGGUCUGCCAAGGACUUGUGGGAGGCGCUCGAAUCUAAGUUCGGAGCUGCCGAUGCAGGGAGCGAGAUGUAUAUUAUAGAGCAGUUCCAUGAUUACAAGAUGGUUGAAAACCGUCCUGUAUUGGAGCAGGCUCAUGAGAUAAUAUGCAUUGUUAAGGAGCUUGAGCUUCUUAAGUGCGAGUUAUUGGGCAAGUUUGUCGCGGGCUGCAUAAUCGCUAAGCUUCCCAAUUCUUGGAGGAACUUUGCCACUACUCUGAAACAUCAGAGGCGUGAAUUCUCUAUGGAGGAUGUCAUUGGCCAUCUGAGUGUUGAGCAGAAUUCAAGGGCAAAGGACUCGCAUGGAAAAGGGGUCGAAGGAACUUCUGUGGCCAACAUGGUGCAUCAGAAGAACUCCAAUUCCCACAAGCCCAAGGGAAAGAACGGUGUCCAACAGAGUACCGACUUUAAGAAGAUGGGUAAGAAGACCUUCAAGAAGAACAAGAAGGAUGAGGGCUGCUUUACUUGUGGUUCGCUUGAACAUUGGGCCAACAAGUGCCCAAACAAGUACAAGAAGCAAGGGCAGGACUCCAAGUCUGUCAAUAUGAUUGUGAGCAACAAUGAGAGUGGUGCAUCUCGGACACAGGUCACGGGUCCGUACUGA
This 987-nucleotide ribosomal RNA is filed under the name Triticum aestivum (bread wheat). RNAcentral's name for it is "partial small subunit ribosomal RNA". Lineage: Eukaryota; Viridiplantae; Streptophyta; Magnoliopsida; Poales; Poaceae. The record is from RNAcentral.